This 1026-nucleotide long non-coding RNA is filed under the name Lynx pardinus (Iberian lynx). The record is from RNAcentral. Lineage: Eukaryota; Metazoa; Chordata; Mammalia; Carnivora; Felidae.
CAGAAAUUCAAGCCACCAGAUGCUUUCCAACUAACAGGGAGCAAAUGGUACGGUUCUGCGGGGCCCUGGAAGAUCUGGGGGUGAGGGGAAGCAAGCUGCGAGAAUUGUAUUACAAAGGGAGCGAGACCAGACGGCGACAACUGACUUGGACCUCGGCCUUCCGUACAAGGUGCUGGGCCCGAGAACUCGGGAUGGGGGAGGGGGGCACACUGCGCGGUGGCCCCGAGGUGACGGGGAGACGCAGGGCGACCGCUUCCCCCAGCCUAAGGGGUAAACACGCGCACCCAAACGGGUCACCCGAGCAGCAAAGCCGUCCCUGUGGACCGUGGGGCAGGCUCUUGGGGGCAACCCCAGGGCUGACCUGAGGCAAGGGCAGCCAGUCCUCCCGGCGGAGACUCGGGUCAGGGCCAGGAGAAGACCUGAGCCCCGGGAGCUUGGGAAAGGAAUCCAAUCUAUCCUGAAGGGGAGCGGGCCAGGGGCGAGGGGGUCAGGCCAAGCCGGAACGAGACACGGACCGGGUAGGUCAAGGGGGGGGUGUCCGGCUGGGGCAGUUACAAGCACGGGAGCCGGCGAGGCUCAGCAGCCCGCUUCCCGUCUUGGGUCAUCCUUCUGCCAGCGGCUGCUCCGACUGUUCCAGGCCCAGCCGCCCCGUCCACUGCCGCCACCAACGCCGCCGCCAUCUUACACUGGCCAGCGGCCGCCACCACCACCGCCUCCGCUCUCGGCGCUUGCGCCUGCGCCGCCACGCUUUCCGGCCCCGUUUGCGACGAGGUGCUGGAGAAGACUGAAGGAAGAGUGGUCGCGCGAGCUCUCGGCUCCCAGCCCUCCGCGGAGGACGCAGAAGGGGCGGGGCUUAGGGCCAACGGCAAACAGAGCAAGGGGCGCGUGCGCGCUCCCGUGAGGCGAAGCUGUUUUCGCGGCGUGCUUGGAGGGGCUCGCACCUCUCGCACGGCUGCGGGCAGACGCGCGGGUAGGGGGCCUCCCGGACUUGUGGCUGCGGUGGAACCGAAUUUCCCUUCCAGCGGA